This 406-nucleotide ribosomal RNA is filed under the name uncultured bacterium. RNAcentral's name for it is "bacterial SSU rRNA". It matches the Rfam family "Bacterial small subunit ribosomal RNA", at positions 355 to 775 of the family's 1533-position model. The record is from RNAcentral.
UGGGGAAUAUUGGGCAAUGGGCGCAAGCCUGACCCAGCAACGCCGCGUGAGGGAAGAAGGCCUUCGGGUUGUAAACCUCUGUCCUUGGUGACGAAACAAAUGACGGUAGCCAAGGAGGAAGCCCCGGCUAACUACGUGCCAGCAGCCGCGGUAAUACGUAGGGGGCGAGCGUUGUCCGGAAUUACUGGGCGUAAAGGGUGCGUAGGUGGCCUUUUAAGUUGGAUGUGAAAUACUCGGGCUUAACUUGGGGGGUGCAUCUAAUACUGGAGGGCUAGAGUGCAGGAGAGGGAAGCGGAAUUCCUAGUGUAGCGGUGAAAUGCGUAGAUAUUAGGAGGAACACCAGUGGCGAAGGCGGCUUUCUGGACUGUAACUGACACUGAGGCACGAAAGCGUGGGGAGCAAACAG